UAAAAUCUUUCGAUCUCGAGAUGGACUUCAGUUAACCUUGGGACCUCAAGAGUAAAAUAAACGCACUAGCCCAAUCCUCGAACAUCACAGCAACCUACCCGCAAAUUUGAAGGCAGCAAAGUGUUCAGGCUAAACAUUCGCAUCAUUUUGAGAUGGUGUUUUCCCAAUAAGACAAGCUCUCUACAUCCGCUUCUUUCGUUCCAAAUUAAUUUUUUUCUCGUUGGGUUAUGUAAAAUCUUCAACUGUAAUAAAUCACAUUGACGACAGAUUUUCCCGCCAUUUUUGGGGUAUUACCUCUCCCACGUUUUUGGGGUAUUGCCUCUCCCACGUUUUGGGGGUAUUGCCUCUCCCACGUUUUUGGGGUAUUGCCUCUCCCACGUUUUUGGGGUAUUGCCUCUCCCACGUUUUGGGGGUAUUGCCUCUCCCACGUUUUUGGGGUAUUGCCUCUCCCACGUUUUUGGGGUAUUGCCUCUCCCACGUUUUUGGGGUAUUGCCUCUCCCACGUUUUUGGGGUAUUGCCUCUCCCACGUUUUGGGGGUAUUGCCUCUCCCACGUUUUGGGGGUAUUGCCUCUCCCACGUUUGAGAGUCUCCGCACCACGAAAUAUAAUGUUACAACUUUUAAAAGUCGCUUUUCACGCUGUUUGAUUUGUCUAGAGUCUUUUACGAGGGCAGACUACCACAAAAAUGGCGGGUUUAGGCCUAAUUUAUGACACUUUCUUAUAUUUGAUCAAAUGUCAAAUGACAUCUUCGUUCACAGAGCUUCUCGUGGCA
This is a non-coding RNA of Paramuricea clavata, 772 nucleotides long. The record is from the annotation of a GenBank genome assembly. Lineage: Eukaryota; Metazoa; Cnidaria; Anthozoa; Malacalcyonacea; Plexauridae.